Molecule: small nucleolar RNA, 106 nt
Filed under: Capsicum annuum
Lineage: Eukaryota; Viridiplantae; Streptophyta; Magnoliopsida; Solanales; Solanaceae
Description: Plant small nucleolar RNA R71
Rfam family: Plant small nucleolar RNA R71
About the family: R71 is a member of the C/D box family of snoRNAs containing the C (UGAUGA) and D (CUGA) box motifs.
Source: Rfam by way of RNAcentral
ACCUCGUGGUUUGGACAUUACAUUAGUUUUCUGUUGAAUCUUUCCCAUACUUCAUACAAAGGUUCUCCAUUCAAUUGCCUAAAUUUAAUGAUCUCAUCCCUCAGUU